AGAUUGAACGCUGGCGGCAUGCCUAACACAUGCAAGUCGAACGGGAGUAGCAAUACUCUAGUGGCGGACGGGUGAGGAAUACGUAGGAAUUUGCCCUUAAGUGGGGGAUAACCCGGGGAAACCCGGAUUAAUACCGCAUGACCUCGAAAGAGCAAAGUGGGGGAUCGCAAGACCUCACGCUUUUGGAGAAGCCUACGUCGGAUUAGCUAGUUGGUGAGGUAAUGGCUCACCAAGGCGACGAUACCGUAACUGGUCUGAGAAGGAUGAUCAGUACACGUACCGGAAACGUCGAAGACUACGGGUACCGGACCGUCCCGUACGGGGAGCGAGCAGUGGGGAAUAUAGGACAGUGG
This 353-nucleotide ribosomal RNA is filed under the name uncultured soil bacterium. RNAcentral's name for it is "bacterial SSU rRNA". It matches the Rfam family "Bacterial small subunit ribosomal RNA", at positions 26 to 374 of the family's 1533-position model. The record is from RNAcentral.